AUGACGGUACCUAUAGAAGAAGCCCCGGCUAACUUCGUGCCAGUAGCCGCGGUAAUACGAGGGGGGCGAGCGCUGUUCGGAAUUAUUGGGCGUAAAGGGUGCGUAGGCGGUCUGACGAGUCUUAUGUGAAAUCUAUGGGCUCAACCCAUAGCCUGCAUGAGAAACUGUCGGGCUUGAGUAUGGGAGAGGUGAGUGGAAUUUCCGGUGUAGCGGUGAAAUGCGUAGAUAUCGGAAGGAACACCUGUGGCGAAAGCGGCUCACUGGACCAUUACUGACGCUGAGGCACGAAAGCUAGGGGAGCAAACAGGAUUAGAUACCCUGGCAGUCCUAGCCCUAAACGAUGAUUGCUUGAUGUGGCAGGUACCCAAUCCUGCCGUGUCGAAGCUAACGCGAUAAGCAAUCCGCCUGGGGAGUACGGUCGCAAGGUUGAAACUCAAAGGAAUUGACGGGGGCCCGCACAAGCGGUGGAGCAUGUGGUUUAAUUCGGCGCAACGCGAAGAACCUUACCUGGGCUCGAAAUGUACCGGAAUCCGGCAGAAACGUCGGCGUCUAGCAAUAGACCGGUAUAUAGGUGCUGCAGGCUGUCGUCAGCUCGUGU
RNAcentral lists this ribosomal RNA (598 nucleotides) under uncultured Acidobacteriota bacterium. RNAcentral's name for it is "bacterial SSU rRNA". It matches the Rfam family "Bacterial small subunit ribosomal RNA", at positions 469 to 1065 of the family's 1533-position model. Lineage: Bacteria; Pseudomonadati; Acidobacteriota. The record is from RNAcentral.